GAUGAACGCUGGCGGCGUGCCUAAUACAUGCAAGUCGAGCGAACGGACGAGAAGCUUGCUUUUCUGAUGUUAGCGGCGGACGGGUGAGUAACACGUGGAUAACCUACCUAUAAGACUGGGAUAACUUCGGGAAACCGGAGCUAAUACCGGAUAAUAUUUUGAACCGCAUGGUUCAAAAGUGAAAGACGGUCUUGCUGUCACUUAUAGAUGGAUCCGCGCUGCAUUAGCUAGUUGGUAAGGUAACGGCUUACCAAGGCAACGAUGCAUAGCCGACCUGAGAGGGUGAUCGGCCACACUGGAACUGAGACACGGUCAGACUCCUACGGGAGGCAGCAGUAGGGAAUCUUCCGCAAUGGGCGAAAGCCUGACGGAGCAACGCCGCGUGAGUGAUGAAGGUCUUCGGAUCGUAAAACUCUGUUAUUAGGGAAGAACAUAUGUGUAAGUAACUGUGCACAUCUUGACGGUACCUAAUCAGAAAGCCACGGCUAACUACGUG
This 496-nucleotide ribosomal RNA is filed under the name uncultured bacterium. RNAcentral describes it as "partial 16S ribosomal RNA". It matches the Rfam family "Bacterial small subunit ribosomal RNA", at positions 28 to 507 of the family's 1533-position model. The record is from RNAcentral.